Molecule: ribosomal RNA, 484 nt
Filed under: uncultured bacterium
Lineage: Bacteria
Description: partial 16S ribosomal RNA
Rfam family: Bacterial small subunit ribosomal RNA
Source: RNAcentral
AUUGAACGCUGGCGGCAGGCCUAACACAUGCAAGUCGAGCGGAUGAAGGGAGCUUGCUCCUGGAUUCAGCGGCGGACGGGUGAGUAAUGCCUAGGAAUCUGCCUGGUAGUGGGGGAUAACGUCCGGAAACGGGCGCUAAUACCGCAUACGUCCUGAGGGAGAAAGUGGGGGAUCUUCGGACCUCACGCUAUCAGAUGAGCCUAGGUCGGAUUAGCUAGUUGGUGGGGUAAAGGCCUACCAAGGCGACGAUCCGUAACUGGUCUGAGAGGAUGAUCAGUCACCCUGGAACUGAACCCCGUCCCAGCCUCCUGCGGGAGGCAGCAGUGGGGAAUUUUGGACAAGGGGGGAAGGCUUGACCCAGCCAGCCGGCGUGUGUGAAAAAGGUUUUCGGUUUCUAAGGCACUUUAAGUGGGGAGAAAGGGCAGUAGUUUAAUCCCUUGCUGUUUUGCCUUCCCCAAAAGAAAAACCCCCGGCUACCUUCGUC